UAGUCCACGCCGUAAACGAUGUCUACUAGCCGUUGGGGUACUUGAGACCUUAGUGGCGCAGCUAACGCACUAAGUAGACCGCCUGGGGAGUACGGCCGCAAGGUUAAAACUCAAAUGAAUUGACGGGGGCCCGCACAAGCGGUGGAGCAUGUGGUUUAAUUCGAUGCAACGCGAAGAACCUUACCAGGUCUUGACAUCCAGAGAACUUUCCAGAGAUGGAUUGGUGCCUUCGGGAGCUCUGUGACAGGUGCUGCAUGGCUGUCGUCAGUUCGUGCCGUGAGGUGUUGGGUUAAGUCCCGCAACGAACGCAACCCUUGUGUUUAGUUGCCAUCAGGUAAUGCUGGGCACUCUAGACAGACUGCCUGUAUCAAGCAGGAGGAAGGUGGGGAUGACGUCAAGUCAGUAUGGCCCUUACGCCCUGGGCUGCACACGUGCUACAAUGGUCGGUACAAAGGGAAGCAAUAUCGCGAGGUGGAGCUAAUCCUGAAAGCGGCCCCAGUUCGG
This 504-nucleotide ribosomal RNA is filed under the name uncultured bacterium. RNAcentral's name for it is "bacterial SSU rRNA". It matches the Rfam family "Bacterial small subunit ribosomal RNA", at positions 791 to 1296 of the family's 1533-position model. The record is from RNAcentral.